UACGGAGGGCGCGAGCGUUGUUCGGAAUCACUGGGCGUAAAGCGCGUGUAGGCGGCCGGGCAAGUCGGAUGUGAAAUCCCGAGGCUCAACCUCGGAACGGCAUUCGAAACUGCUCGGCUCGAGUCCCGGAGAGGAUGGCGGAAUUCCCGGUGUAGGGGUGAAAUCCGUAGAUAUCGGGAGGAACACCAGUGGCGAAGGCGGCCAUCUGGACGGUGACUGACGCUGAGACGCGAAAGCGUGGGGAGCAAACAGG
RNAcentral lists this ribosomal RNA (253 nucleotides) under uncultured bacterium. Its description in RNAcentral is "partial 16S ribosomal RNA". It matches the Rfam family "Bacterial small subunit ribosomal RNA", at positions 524 to 776 of the family's 1533-position model. The record is from RNAcentral.